UCGGGUUUAGCUCAGCGGUAGAGCGGAUGGCUGUUAACCAUUAGGUCCUAGGUUCGAAUCCUAGAACCCGAGCCA
Molecule: transfer RNA, 75 nt
Filed under: Verrucomicrobiia bacterium AMD-G2
Lineage: Bacteria; Pseudomonadati; Verrucomicrobiota; Verrucomicrobiia
Also listed under: 1 other name
Description: Verrucomicrobiae bacterium AMD-G2 tRNA-Asn
Rfam family: tRNA
About the family: Transfer RNA (tRNA) molecules are approximately 80 nucleotides in length.
Source: RNAcentral